AAACUCUCGUUAAGGAACUCGGCAAAAUGACCCCGUAACUUCGGGAGAAGGGGUGCUCUGGUAGGGUGUUAAAGCCCGAGAGAGCCGCAGUGAAUAGGCCCAGGCGACUGUUUAGCAAAAACACAGGUCUCUGCAAAACCGCAAGGUGAAGUAUAGGGGCUGACGCCUGCCCGGUGCUGGAAGGUUAAGAGGAGAGGUCAGCGCAAGCGAAGCUUCGAAUUGAAGCCCCAGUAAACGGCGGCCGUAACAAUAACGGUCCUAAGGUAGCGAAAUUCCUUGUCGGGUAAGUUCCGACCCGCACGAAAGGCGUAACGAUCUGGGCACUGUCUCAACGAGAGACUCGGUGAAAUUAUAAUACCUGAGAAGAUGCAGGUUACCCGCGACAGGACGGAAAGACCCCGUGGAGCUUUACUGUAACCUGAUAUUGAAUUCCGGUGCAGCCUGUACAGAUAGGUAGGAGCCUUGGAUUCCGGAGCGCUAGCUUCGGAUGAGGCGUUGGUGGGAUACUACCCUGGCUGUAUUGGACUUCUAACCCAUGCCCCUUAUCGGGGCAGGAGACAGUGUCAGGCGGGCAGUUUGACUGGGGCGGUCGCCUCCUAAAGAGUAACGGAGGCGCCCAAAGGUUCCCUCAGAAUGGUUGGACAUCAUUCGUAGAGUGCAAAGGCAUAAGGGAGCUUGACUGCGAGACCUACAAGUCGAGCAGGGUCGAAAGACGGGCUUAGUGAUCCGGUGGUUCCGCAUGGAAGGGCCAUCGCUCAACGGAUAAAAGCUACCCCGGGGAUAACAGGCUUAUCUCCCCCAAGAGUCCACAUCGACGGGGAGGUUUGGCACCUCGAUGUCGGCUCAUCGCAUCCUGGGGCUGUAGUCGGUCCCAAGGGUUGGGCUUUUCGCCCAUUAAAGCGGUACGCGAGCUGGGUUCAGAACGUCGUGAGACAGUUCGGUCCCUAUCCGUCGCGGGCGCAGGAAAUUUGAGAGGAGCUGUCCUUAGUACGAGAGGACCGGGAUGGACAUACCUCUGGUGUACCAGUUGUCUUGCCAAAGGCAUCGCUGGGUAGCUAUGUAUGGACGGGAUAAAUGCUGAAAGCAUCUAAGCAUGAAGCCCCCCUCGAGAUGAGAUUUCCCAUUACGCAAGUAAGUAAGAUCCCUCAAAGAAGAUGAGGUUGAUAGGUCUGGGGUGGAAGCACGGCGACGUGUGGAGCUGACGGAUACUAAUCGAUCGAGGACUUAACCU
This 1231-nucleotide ribosomal RNA is filed under the name metagenome. Its description in RNAcentral is "bacterial LSU rRNA". It matches the Rfam family "Bacterial large subunit ribosomal RNA", at positions 1696 to 2925 of the family's 2925-position model. The record is from RNAcentral.